UCCCACUUUCCAUUCCACUACUCCCACCACCAACUUCCACUGCACCUUUCCUUCCACUUAUUCCAUCAACCACCGACUCCCUCACAAUUUUAUAUCACCUUCCCUUUACACCACUAUACCAACUAAAACAUUUUAUAUCAGCUAAGGGAAGCUUUAACUCUGUUUCAAACAAAUCACCACAAUUUAUUCUCACAAGAAAAACGCAGAUGGAGGGCCUUAUUCACCAAAUUCCCUCUUUCAAGAACAGAACUUGAACUUACAAAGUUUUUGUUGCUGCAUGCUUUCACACCACAAGAAGCUUGGUUUUAAAGGACUCUCCCUCAACAGAUCAACAAAUCAGUAUCACAAGGCUUUGUGACCAGGGAGAUUAGCGCUGCUUCCCAAGACAGGUUUAUAUGUGAUUAUGAUCUUCAGGCUUUGCCUAACCAGGUUGAGCAGUUGAUGGAAUGGAAUGAUGUUGAGCGGGUAUUCCUUUGACAUUUCAAGAAAUGUAACCUUGAGGAUACAUCUUCAUAUGUAUAUCUCACACGUUUUUCCGCUGCAAAACACUUUGAUUAGGAUAACUCUAUGUUAUGAAGUUGUGACACGUGUUAUUGGGUAACCCACCUUAAUCAGUUCUCCUUUAUGUGUAUGUGUUAUAAGUAUCCAAAUGAUCAUAUAUGAUCAUAGCUUUUUUAUUUAUGAGUGACAUUUCCAUAUACUUUAAUGUUAAGUAAUUGUCCAUUUCCAUUUCUUAUUGUUCACCCCAAGUCAUAACCCCGGUUAACCCGUCAUUGGGAUAGUGGGCUGUGACAGAGUGGUAUCAGAGCGGUUCGUUCGCUCUGGCCCUAGAAACCUUAUUCUAAAGAGUCGAGUCUAGUUUGAUUCUUUAGACUUACACGGGUUCAUACGGCACCGCUCAACACUCCAUUGCAUCGUGCUCAAUCAA
Molecule: long non-coding RNA, 928 nt
Organism: Salvia miltiorrhiza (redroot sage)
Lineage: Eukaryota; Viridiplantae; Streptophyta; Magnoliopsida; Lamiales; Lamiaceae
Exons: 3
Source: RefSeq, a predicted model, not a curated record